ACCUAUACUAAAAGGGUUAUAUGAGGAGUAGGGAGGCUGUCCACGUCAGCCAAUUAAAUCAUCCAAUCAUAAAGUUUUAAAUCGCCACGUCAUUUUCGCUUAUGAGUGAAGCCCGAAACUGGCCCAAGCCGAGUCUAGCCUAAGCCCUAAUUUGUCUGAAGCGUAAAAAGUUCAUCUUCCGACUCUUCCACUUCGACUUCAACUAAUUUCUCUGUAACUCUGUUACGGCUUGCUCCUCUCUUCUUUAUUGUUUCGUUAUGCCUCCCUCUUCAAUCAACACCCGAGUCUUCCACUUCGUCUCCACCGUCUCGGUUGAUCUGUAAUCUUCGUCUUCACCUGAAUACUUUGAAAUCUCUUCCGUGAAUAUGAUGGUAUGUCGUUAUUUCGAGAUUCGAUUUUUAAAUAUGACAAAUGUUUGCAGGUUGUUCCACGAAUCUCCUUCGUAUACUUUGUUUUUGAUUCCUCUGUUGUAGUGAUUAUUUAAGAGUUUUGGGUUGGGAACGAAGAGCUUCCUCAUCUGUACGCGAAGAGACUUGGCGACACUGGUUAUCACAGCCACAGUGGUUCAAGCGGUGAGAGCUGGAACAGAUCCUCAGGUGACAGCACAAAAGAUUGCAACUUUGGCGAGGCAAAGAGCACAGGACAAGAACAGACAAACUCCAUUCUCUACGCAGCGCAAGAUGAUGGAUUCAGAUACUAUGGAGAUGGAGCCAAGACACACAUGUGACAACUAAAAAGACAGUAGCAUGUGACACAAAUGAACAACAAUCUGAUUCAAUCUCAGUUCCAGGUUUGCUUACGGCUCUUCCUAAGGACUACUUUAGAGUUGUGAACUCGAGAGGUUUAUAAGAUUCUUCAGUACAUUUUAAUCUUAUCUGAAAGAAGUCUAUCUCACUCUAAUGCCUAUUCUACUUUGCGGAUUGGAGCAGAAGUAACCGAUGACAUGUCUACAAUUUUCUCAGAAUACUUUUGGGUAUGCUGUAGAUUUUUGUGUUGUUUUGAAUUGGUGAUCAAGAUUAUGAAAUUGUUAUCAUUUUGGCUUAUCAUUGGGAGCAACAUGUAUCUGGGAUAUCACCAAGCCACUGGUUGAUGAAGUCUGCAAAACACUCUAACGUUGGCGAUAUUCUUCCUCUGCACUCAAGUCGCUUCAGGAGAUAUUAUACUGUCUAUUCGAUCAAAGAAUAUAUUCGGACGUUGAUGUGGACUUUCGCCAGCUAAUCAGGAGUCUUCAUCCAAAGGUGAUGUUAGGGCUGCCAGUGGUGGAAGGAACAAACCAUGCUUCAUGUUUCCCACGUGCUGUAAUUGGCUCUGAAGCAACGUGUUACAGCCGUUUAUGGAGUGAGGUGUUUGCUGCUGAUAUAUUUGCUUCACAGUUUGGAGAUGGGCAUCCGAAUCUGUAUAUGGGCUUGCAGUUCCGAGACAAAGUGUUGGACCAGGGAGGAGGCAAUAAAGCCAUGGAACUUCUCACCAGUUUUCUUGGAAGGGAACCAUCAACACAAGCUUACAUCGAGAGCUGACAAAGUAUGGUUUGUGAUAUCUGUGCAUUUAACAGUAGGAUGUUCUGUAAUGAAUCUGGUGAAAAUUGAAAAAUGCUAUUUUGCGAAGCUGAACAACUUUUUGUUGUGGUCGGUAACAUCCGUUUAUUGAGUAUUUGUUAAUGAA
Brassica napus (rape) is the source of this 1662-nucleotide long non-coding RNA. RefSeq lists it as uncharacterized. The transcript has 11 exons. NCBI's taxonomy places the organism in Eukaryota, Viridiplantae, Streptophyta, Magnoliopsida, Brassicales, Brassicaceae. The record is from RefSeq and is a predicted model, not a curated record.